UUGGAAUUGAGAAAAUAAUAUUCAAAUUCAUAUAAUAAACUACAUCUUUUAACACCUCUUCCACCAUUUCCACAGCUUCCCUAUUAAUCUCACGUGGAAACAGUACCUUUAUUCCUGCUGUAGUAAUGUUACAAAAAUUGGCCUUGGAAAAGAGAAGUGGAGAAAAUGUUAAUGUAUGUAUAUUUUGAUAGUCAUAUUAUUUUAACAAGAUUGUGUUUUUCAAUUGUUUCAGUGUUUUCAAUGGGUUAGCUCUUACAUUACUUCUUGAUAGGUCAAGUCUCACAUUGAUUAAAAACAAAAUAUUUGGCUGCUUAAUUUUAU
Molecule: unclassified non-coding RNA, 321 nt
Filed under: Hevea brasiliensis (rubber tree)
Lineage: Eukaryota; Viridiplantae; Streptophyta; Magnoliopsida; Malpighiales; Euphorbiaceae
Source: RNAcentral